Long non-coding RNA from Melitaea cinxia (Glanville fritillary), 100 nucleotides. RefSeq lists it as uncharacterized. NCBI's taxonomy places the organism in Eukaryota, Metazoa, Arthropoda, Insecta, Lepidoptera, Nymphalidae. The record is from RefSeq and is a predicted model, not a curated record. The transcript has 3 exons.
GCAGAUUUCAUACUUACCUCGUAUAAUUAAAAUAAUUAUCUACUUUUAUUAGUUAUCAGGACUCACAUACAUUGUUAAAUUUUUUUUAACAGAAUAUAAU